UCCUGGUUAACCCAGGCAGUCUCGUUAGAGUUCCCACCUUAAAUGUUGGCAACUAACGAUAAGGGUUGCGCUCGUUGCGGGACUUAACCCAACACCUCACGGCACGAGCUGACGACAGCCAUGCAGCACCUGUGCAGAAGUCCCGAAGGAGGGCGCCAUUUCUGGCGCUUACUUCUGCAUGUCAAGUCUGGGUAAGGUUCUUCGCGUUGCAUCGAAUUAAACCACAUGCUCCACUGCUUGUGCGGGUCCCCGUCAAUUCUUUUGAGUUUCACCCUUGCGAGCGUACUCCCCAGGCGGCAUACUUAACGCGUUUGCUACGGCACAGUCGGGGUUGAGUCCGACUACACCAAGUAUGCAUAGUUUACGGCUAGGACUAC
This 377-nucleotide unclassified non-coding RNA is filed under the name uncultured Chlamydiales bacterium. RNAcentral's name for it is "contains 16S-23S intergenic spacer region". Lineage: Bacteria; Pseudomonadati; Chlamydiota; Chlamydiia; Chlamydiales. The record is from RNAcentral.